Molecule: long non-coding RNA, 4836 nt
Organism: Corvus hawaiiensis (hawaiian crow)
Lineage: Eukaryota; Metazoa; Chordata; Aves; Passeriformes; Corvidae
Exons: 2
Source: RefSeq, a predicted model, not a curated record
CAGCCUUUGCUGCUUUGCCUUUCUCUUCUUUUACUUAGAUCAUUUAUGGAUGUGGUAAACGACUUAGCAUUGUUUUCUUUAAAGACAAGAUCUGGGGGAGGAAACAUGCUGUUACAUAAGCUAAGUGAAGUGUGUUACAGUGAUGAUUACGGUAGUGAUAAUUCUCAUAACCUUAUUUGUCACUGCUCUGUCCUUUGAUAGUUAUCUUGUUGCUAGCAAACAGUUCAGUAGCUGUUUGGAACAGUACUACCUUCUUAGGAGCUAAAUGUGUCAAGGGGUUUCUGCCAGCAGGAGAGGUUUCUGUACUGGUAAGAUGAAGAGAACCAGGAGGAAGCCAUUUUUGGCCAAUAUUAAAUUAAAAUUAGGAGCUGUGACUACUGGUCUGGGAGAGAUGAGGGACCCUCAGAAACUCUAGCAUCCCUCCCAGCAUCCACUCCUCAGUUUAUUAUGAUGGCAUUUAAUUUUAAUUAACACAUUUUCGUUUCUUUUCGUUUCGUUUCGCUUAGUUUAGUUUAGUUUAGUUUAUCAUUACUUCCCCCUCGUCCUUUCCUGGUUACUCCCCCCAGGGUUUUAGUGCAGGACCCCUCUCCGUCUCGCUCCUCCCCCGGUGGCGGAGUGGGGGAAAAGAGGAAGGCGAAGGGGAAGGGGAAAAGGGAAAGGGGCAGGAGAAGGGGAAAGCGCCUCCCCCCCGCCGCCGCAGCCCGGCGGGAGGAGCUCGUCCGGCCGGCGCAGCGCUGCUCUCGCCGCCGCUGUCCCCGCCGCUAGCCCCUUCCCUUGCGAAGCUCAGGGGAGGGCUGAGGGCGGUGCUGGGUUUCCCUCUAGUGGUGCCUGAGCUCUGCAGAGGGAUGCAGUGUCCCGUCCAAGAGGCCGUCGCUGCUUGGCAGGAGUGGCCGGGUUAGGAGCUCGCCGAGCUCACCUUUCCAGAGGUACCCGAUCCAUGAAGAUGGGGAUAUGUCUUCAGGCGAACAGCUCUGGCUUUAUAGCAAAAACGGUACAGCCGUGUUUCCUCCAUUAAGCUCCCAAGGAACAGCUUUAAAGGUUCUUCAUUGGCUUUUAGUUAAGGCAAAGCACUAGCACUGGGAACGGCAGAGCAGUGACUGUGGAUGUGCAUCCAGCUCUGGGUGGGAUACAAUCAUGGGGCUUGGGCAGGACUCAGACACUUCAGUUCAAAGCUGUGAUGAUGAAAGCUGCCCCAUAAUGAUUAUCUGACCCCGGCCUGAAGUCUGUGAAUGCUACACUUCCAUGUGGUGAGGAACUUCAGCUGCAGUGUGUCCAGUGUUUCAGCCCCCAUGCAGACCCAUGGUUCUGGGGAUCUUCAGCCCAUUAUCCUACAGGGCCUGGCUGGAGUGGGCUUGGUAUACUGGUGAUUUCCUUGGAAACAACCUCUGCUCUCCUUUUUUCAGCAGGUCAGUGGCUAUCGCACUGAGGACCUGGGUUGCAUCCCUCCCUUCCAAUGUCUCUUGGAAGCAGCUAGGCCAGUGAGCCGCUCAUCACACACCUUUGGCAAGGUGCUGCUUCGUGUAGGCUCUUCAAAGUUUCUUUUGUUGUGGAAAAAGGAGCAACUGGGGAAAGAUUUAUGCAGAAGACGUGGUGUCAGCUCCAGUCCCUGGACACAGCUACUCAGUGGCUAUUUCAUGGGAAAGAUAAACUUUCAUUGGAGCUUGGCCUGAAGCCCUGGAUGUCCUGCUCUCCAGGCGAGCACUCCUAUUUCUUCACCGUCUUUCACAAUCUCCUGAAGAUGCUGAAUGUUUGCAAGAGUUCAAAAGUGAAUGAAUGGAAAGGCCAAUAUAUUAAAUCUAUUAAAUAAAAUGACACCACUCAGGAAUUGCCUGAGCCAAAGAGGGCUGUUGAGAGAACAUUUAGAGACAGUACCACUUUAUGCUCUCCUGUUUCUAUAUUUUUCUCCAAGCAGCUGUUUUUGGCCACUGUAGGAGACAAAAUACAAGAUUAGAUUGACUUUCAACAAGUAAAAAGGAUAUUUUUAUAAAAAUAUAUAUCUAUGAAAUAUGAAUUAUAAAAUAUAAAAUGCAUGUAUAUUUACAAAGGUACACAGGCCUUUUCUGUGCUGUCUUGAUAGCAUUUUACAAAAUUGCAAGUUUUUUGUGAAUGAGUUUUGGGCACUGACUCCAGUUGUAUGAGAAAGCUUAAAAUUAACCAGUAAUAAAGUAAUGAAAAUGAGAAUAACAUUAAGGUUGCAAAGUUAAGCACUUAGAAGGAAGAAAGUGCCAAAACAAAGGGACUUGUACUCUUAGGAUUGUAAUUCUUUGAAAAUUCCCAGUGUGAUGCCCUGCUGUGUGUAUUCGGAGAUAGACUUGCUUUACACAGUAAUACUCUAUUUUUAUUAGGCUUCCUCCCUGGUUUAUAUCACAGUGUGGAGGGUGACUAGCAUUGAAUAAGAGCACAGAGUGAAGGAGAGAGUAGCAUGCAGAGUCCUACCUCCUCCUUCUGCCUGCAGGAGCUCAUGGGCAGAGAGAGGAGCUGCUGGUGAACACUGACAAUGGUCACCAAGUGCCAUGAGAUGGUCACCCAGUGCCCCUGAGGGCAUGCCAGUGUGCUGUUGGAUGUCUUCAGUGAAAUCACAUUUUUCAACAGAGGGUUUACAUGGCUGCUUGUUCUGGGUGCUGACUGAGGGCACUUGGUGCUUAGCUGUAGAAAUGUUUGUCCCACCUCACCUCCGGUGAGCUAAAGCUGUGCAUGUCUGACAGCCCCACUUAUUACUGGUGAAAUUUCUAUGUCAGGGCCUAGUUCUAAAUUUUCUUUUCACCAGAAGCAGGUUUAGCUCAUAGUAUACAUAGGUACAUACUUCAAAGAAUGUAUUUUUUUUAUGGCAGUGUCCAUGCAGACAUUUGUAGUUAGGUACUUUACUAUAAAAAUAACAUGAGAACAAGUGUUUUGAUACCAACAGCACCAAUAACCAGGAAGUUAUCUGAUGCUUUACAUGCAAGUACAUGUAAAGGGUGAAAAUUGGAUGUUUUAGUAUAAGAAUUUUUCUGCUGUGAUCAGAUAUGCAUAUACAGAUAGCUUGUCAUGCUGGUAACCUGAUAAACCUGAGCAGACAACAACUGAUACAAAGAUGGUCUGUCCUCUAACAAAUGAGCAGUAUUUGUGGUGUGUAAUACUGCAACAAUGAGCAGUGAUGGGUAAUCCCUCUGCCCAGGACCUCCCUGGCCUGCUGGGCAGAUGCUCUUGCAGACUUAGGCACUUGAAAGUGGAAUCUGCUCUUCCUUAACCCCCAAAUUUUCAUGAGCCACAAUGUUUUUUUCUUCCUGUUAUCUCUCAUAAUUUUUUCAGUUCUUUCUUUGACUCUGGUAACGCUUCCACUUGCCUUAGCAGUUGCCUUUCUGCCUCAAAUGUAACUUUUUUUCUAUUGAUCAUGUUUGUCAGCAUUUCCCAUCUCCAUCUCUUCUGCUCAGGUCGCAUUUCCUCACUAGUGGCACUGUUGUUCUUUGGGGUGACGUUAGGGCUUAGGGCUGUGUUAGGAAUGCCAAAUGUCACUAUGCCUGUACAGAAUUCUUGGCCCGCAGUAAAACUAGGAGUUUCCUUAGGGACACUGAUGAUGUGGAAAAAAUCAGAGACUAAGGAUGGGUUUGUCCUGCUUGGGCUGAGUUGUUCAAGGACCACAGAGAGACCAAAAAAAGCUGUCCAAAAUGUCUCCAGGCUAUGGUGAAUUGCCCCUGAAAGUUAUUGUCACAUGAAAGGUGCUUUUUUCCCCAAAAAACUCCAAGCAACAAAAACCUAACUGUUUUCAUAACCUAUUAAAGGAUGACUGAGAGUUAAGGAAAAGACUGUAUUUUUCUAACACAUUGUCACAGUUGUGCCUUGCCUGAGAACACCAAUCUGUGAAAAAAUACACCUGCAACUCAGCCUGAAAAUUGCCUCCCAACAGUUAAUGAAAGUAUCACUUUCCUCCGGGAUGCGGUUAAAAUAUAAUUAAGGUUAUGUCACUUUGGAGGAGUUCAUUGGUGACAUGGUGGGUAAAGGGAGGCAAGGCUGUGGAGAUGAAAUGUGCUGGAAAUUAGCAUGAGGUAUUAUGUACUUACAUCAGUCUUUAGUGUGUCCUGGCAGUUUGUCAUGAGAGAAGCUAUUGAAGGAGGUGAUGCUUUGACUGUGAUACACCGCGUGAAAAUGUGCAAUGAACAGGAGAGCAGGUAUGAUGGGGAAUUUUCUAGAGUAUUUGGUCUAAACUUAAUAUAAACAGAUUAUUAGGGGUGGGGGGAAAUGUGACUAAAUAACUGUUGGCAUCCUUUAUCGGUGUGGAAGCAUGAGAGAACUUCCCCUUGAAGUGAAAAGAGAUAUUUCUAAAGUAACAGCAUCUGAAGUGUAAUCUGCUCAGAUUUUGUUACUUCCCAACAUGUCUAGAGGUUACAGUAGAGACUGCAUCAAAGAGAGUAGUCUUUUACUCUUCAUUUUUAUUGUCCAUUUUUAUAAUUAAAAUUGGAAACUGUCAUUUAGCAGCAAAUUUAAAAUAAAAAGAAUGUAACUUUCACAAAGUCCUCAAAGAAAACAAAAAAUCGUAUAGGUGUUGACACAUCCUAUCAUCAGGUUUAGAAGGUAAAUACCAGAAAAACGAUUGUUAUCAGGUGUGAAUUAACAUACAGUGAGUUUUCUCACAACUGAAGAAGGUGACAGAUAUAACAUAUGCAUUAAUAAAAGUCCAAAUGGAAGGUAUGGCCAUAAUUAGAAAUGGUACUUGAAGAAAUGCUAUUGAUUCCAGGAAUUGAAUUUAAUUUGAUGGCUUUUACUGUAAUUAACACAAUUGUUUGUAUCAGCAUAGAUCUCUUAACAUUAUUAUCUAAGUUGACAAAUUAUAAAAUUAAAUGUUCAUUUAAGAUGUAA